Molecule: non-coding RNA, 317 nt
Organism: Xyrichtys novacula (pearly razorfish)
Lineage: Eukaryota; Metazoa; Chordata; Actinopteri; Labriformes; Labridae
Source: the annotation of a GenBank genome assembly
GGUUAGGGUUAGGGUUGGAGUUAGGGUUAGUGUUGGAGCUAGGGUUAGGGUUGGGCUUGGAGCUAGGAUUUUUCUGAGUGCACUGAACCAACUCCCGAGUCUCUAGGAUAUUCCUAAAAAAAUUUGAUUUUUUCCCAUAGGAAUGCAUGGGUUAGGGUUAGGGUUAGGGUUGGAGCUAGGGUUAGGGUUAGGGUUAGGGUUGGAGUUAGGGUUAGUGUUGGAGCUAUGGUUAGGGUUGGGCUUGGAGCUAGGAUUUUUCUGAGUGCACUGAACCAACUCCCGAGUCUCUAGGACAUUCCUAAAAAAUUUUGAUUUUU